Molecule: long non-coding RNA, 1075 nt
Organism: Strigops habroptila (Kakapo)
Lineage: Eukaryota; Metazoa; Chordata; Aves; Psittaciformes; Psittacidae
Exons: 3
Source: RefSeq, a predicted model, not a curated record
AAAAAAUGAAUUUCUAAGGCUUAUAUAGUGGUAUUUCUUUUCUAUAACAUGCUGGAUUCUGCUUUUAGGAACUUUUGUCAUUGUUUUAAGUGUUCAUUCCAGGCUACUGAAGCAGGCUUUCAUAUGCUGUUGUAUAUGAGUGGCAAAAUACCCUGAAGCUAGGAGACAAAUUUUAGUGGCACCGGAUCGUCCUGCAGGUCAAGGCUAGGACGUGAAAUUGGCACCAACAGCUUCCAAAGGAAACUGCAUGCAGCUCUCUGAAACUGGGAAACAUCCUAACAGGGAACUGGAGGGAGUUAAAAAUGAGAGAAUAAGGAAGAAGCUGGAGCAUUCUUUAAUGAUAUCCUGGGGAAAAGAAAAAAAAAAUAAAUCUGCUUAACAGGGAUAUGGUCCUUUGGGAAAAAUAUUAAAAAGUCUUCCUGCUUUCCAGCCCCUGCAAAAGAUGUUUCAGUGAAAGAUGUGUUGGACCAGUCCAGCAAGCCAAGGUGUCACUGCGUGGCUGUAACUCAGCACUGGUGAAACUGACAUGUCAGCUGGGCAGCACAGAUCCCACUUGAGAUGAACCUUCACAACUAAUCUGUUGGAUUUGCCAUUAUGAGCUAAGUGAAAGCUGCGGUCUCAGAAGUAUGUACAUCUCUAACACACAUAAAGAAGAAAGUCUUCACAAUUCUUUCCCUAAGAAAUCAUGCAUCUCUGCUAUCCUGCUGACUCCUGAUUUAUUCUUAAUAAAGCACUUAGAUACUUCUCUAAGUUUAAAGCAUCGUAUUAAACAAGCCUGGGAACAGACUGACCAUGAUUCUUCACUGAAUCACUUUGUACAGUCACCUAGGCUCAAGCUUAACAAGGCACUCAAUCCAUUGCUUUACUUGCAUUUGAGCCUCAAGGACUCUAAUCCUCACUGGGUAUUGUUCUCUAGCAGCCCUCUCCCAGAGAGCUUUGCGUCCAAGCGUAAAACAAGAGACAAAGAGGUGAGGACACAUAAGCAAUGAACCCUAUAGAGGAAUCCAAUGAGCAAUGGCCUCAGCACAUUCACUGCCUGUCUGGGACACUGCAGUGCACAGCCUGAAGGAGGUAA